This 214-nucleotide long non-coding RNA is filed under the name Mytilus galloprovincialis (Mediterranean mussel). The record is from RNAcentral. Lineage: Eukaryota; Metazoa; Mollusca; Bivalvia; Mytilida; Mytilidae.
AUUGGGGUGUAAAAGCGUUGACCGAAGUACGUUUUGUAUGAAGCGCGGAAGCGCUUCAUACUGAAAAUGUGCGCACGGUAAACGCCUUUACAACCCUAUAAAGUUACAAAAAGAAGCAUUCAAUACUUAUAAUUACAUUUUUUUAGCUAGGAUCAUGAAAACACGAUUUUUAUCAAGUUUUCAUUUAAUUCACCUGUGCACUUUAUUGUGGGAC